GGCGAAGUUGUACAGCGGCCUCUUGGGUCGCUUCAGCGACGUCUCCAGGAUCUUCGACGCCCCUUCGAUGACUUGCACCAAGUCGUCGUACAUGGAGCCGGUGACAUCGAACACGAAGCACUGAUGUCAUGAGAAGGAAGCACAUAACCAGAGCUGUGCAACGCAUUCGCCAUAAAACCCCAAACCAUGGAAAACUUGCCUCAUCUGUAACUUUCCUACCAGAAAACUCGGACCAGAGCAAACUGCUGAUACCAAAACAGAUUCUCCUCCUUGGAUCCCAUGGACCACUCUCAGCAGGCUGCGCCUAUGGAGCUCUUUCUCACGACACCUCUUUGCUGGUCAGCAAACUCUGCACGUAUACCAGAUACUCUGAGCUGUUUUGUCACAGACAUUUGACAAAAGUUCCUCUGCAACUCCACGCACAUUAAAAAGUUUUACUCCCACUCCUCCUCCAAGUCAUCCCGCUCCCCCACCCCGUUUUUUUAUUUUAUUUUUGCUUUGUUUGGACUUCACUAAUUGUUGUGGAAAAGGACGGAAUCUUUGCUGUUUGUUUUGGGUAUCUCGCUUUGGCUAUCUCUGUGAGAAGUGUAUGUAUUGUAUAGCAAGAGCUCUCCAGUUCAUAGACGGUGUUUUCUCAGCCAGUUUUUAGUCCUGUCUUUCUAUUUUAUGUAUAUUCACACUCCAGUCUUGCACAUGAGAAGUGUAACUUCGUACUUGUCAAAGACAUUCACUACUCCAAAACUGAAAACAAUGUUUUAGGUCUCAAAUUCUGAGCUUUGAAGUAGCAUGCAGGCAGAACUUCAUUUGGGAGGGACAAGGUUAACAUGCCAUCCUAGAAGAGGAAAAGGAGUUAGCAGGUAUGCCAAGGAGCCUGAAACCAGGUAAAGCUGCUGCUAAUAGCUCUGCAACAAAAGAUAAACAAGGAGCAGAAAAGAGGAAGGACAGACAGGUGAACCUGUGGUUAUAUUUGGCAACAUCUUCACAUUUAUGUACAAAGAACCUAGCACUGCUUUUGGGGGGAGAUUUUGUUGUGUGAAUGCCAUUACAGGAUCAGGGUUCAAACUCAGAAGUGAUUAAAUAAACACUGACCCUGAAUAAACACUG
This is a long non-coding RNA of Cygnus olor (mute swan), 1104 nucleotides long. RefSeq lists it as uncharacterized. The transcript has 3 exons. Lineage: Eukaryota; Metazoa; Chordata; Aves; Anseriformes; Anatidae. The record is from RefSeq and is a predicted model, not a curated record.